UUCACUACUUGCUCAACAAAAGAAAACUCCUUAACCCUCUUUCUCUAUUUUACGAUCCUAAUUCCUAAUUUACUUCACCCAUCCAUCUCGGACUUGCGAUUGUGAUUCAAGAUAUUCAUCUCUCCCCCAUCACAUAAGAGAAUCCCUUCUUCCCUUUCCACAUUCCAUAGAGAACACAUUUUAUUGGCUUGGUGUUUGCACAACUGCCACGGAGAACCAGAAGCAUAUUGCAUUUUUUUGAAGGAGAAAAGGUGACGGCCAACCGCCAUUGAGAAAAGAGAUUAUUACAUCCAUAAUGUGAACUUGCGGCCAACUGGAGUAAAGGCACAUGAUGGGGAAUCACUUGGCAAUUUUUAAAGAAAUGCAAAGAAGGACAGGCCACAGUCUCUAGAUGGAAAUUUGGAUGCGGCUGCAGAUGUGCUGAAGCCGAUGAUUAGGCUGAGCAUUCCCACCAAGGCUAGCCGUGUUGAUUGAGAGUUUCUUCAAAGCUAAUGAGUUUGACAAGGCAGAGAAGGUUUUAGGCAUGGACCAGCACCUACUAAAUGACACACAUCGAGAGUGCAUCUGCACCCCUACAUUUUGUUUGACCAAGCUGUUUUACUCCACGCCUUUGGAGAGGCUUACGUAACGUGUGUCGAUAGUCGAAGUGGACUCUCU
Long non-coding RNA from Vigna radiata var. radiata (mung bean), 657 nucleotides. RefSeq lists it as uncharacterized. The record is from RefSeq and is a predicted model, not a curated record. Lineage: Eukaryota; Viridiplantae; Streptophyta; Magnoliopsida; Fabales; Fabaceae. The transcript has 3 exons.